This 467-nucleotide ribosomal RNA is filed under the name uncultured bacterium. RNAcentral describes it as "partial 16S ribosomal RNA". It matches the Rfam family "Bacterial small subunit ribosomal RNA", at positions 28 to 507 of the family's 1533-position model. The record is from RNAcentral.
GACGAACGCUGCGGCGUGCUUAACCCAUGCAAGUCGAACGGAAAGGCCCUGCUUUUGUGGGGUGCUCGAGUGGCGAACGGGUGAGUAACACGUGAGUAACCUGGCCUUGGCUUUGGGAUAACUUCAGGAAACUGGGGCUAAUACCGGAUAGGAGCUCCUGCUGCAUGGGGGGGGUUGGAAAGUUUCGGCGGUUGGGGAUGGACUCGCGGCUUAUCAGCUUGUUGGUGGGGUAGUGGCUUACCAAGGCUUUGACGGGUAGCCGGCCUGAGAGGGUGACCGGCCACAUUGGGACUGAGAUACGGCCCAGACUCCCACGGGAGGCAGCAGUGGGGAAUAUUGCACAAUGGGCGGAAGCCCGAUGCAGCAACGCCGCGUGCGGGAUGACGGCCUUCGGGUUGUAAACCGCUUUCGCCUGUGACGAAGCGUGAGUGACGGUAAUGGGUAAAGAAGCACCGGCCAACUACGUG